This 440-nucleotide ribosomal RNA is filed under the name uncultured bacterium. Its description in RNAcentral is "partial 16S ribosomal RNA". It matches the Rfam family "Bacterial small subunit ribosomal RNA", at positions 338 to 795 of the family's 1533-position model. The record is from RNAcentral.
CCUACGGGUGGCUGCAGUAGGGAAUAUUGCACAAUGGGGGAAACCCUGAUGCAGCAACGCCGCGUGGAGGAAGAAGGUUUUCGGUAUGUAAAGCUCUAUCGGCAGAGAAGAAAAUGACGGUACCUGACUAAGAAGCCCCGGCUAACUACGUGCCAGCAGCCGCGGUAAUACGUAGGGGGCAAGCGUUAUCCGGAUUUACUGGGUGUAAAGGGAGCGCAGACGGCUGUGCAAGUCUGGAGUGAAAGGCGGGGGCUCAACCCCCGGACUGCUCUGGAAACUGUAAAGCUGGAGUGCAGGAGAGGUAAGCGGAAUUCUUAGUGUAGCGGUGAAAUGCGUAGAUAUUAGGAGGAACACCAGUGGCGAAGGCGGCUUACUGGACUGCAACUGACGUUGAGGCGCGAAAGCGUGGGGAGCAAACAGGAUUAGAUACCCGUGUAGUC